CAGUAGCCGCGGUAAUACGGAGGGUGCGAGCGUUAAUCGGAAUUACUGGGCGUAAAGCGUACGCAGGCGGUUUGUUAAGUCAGAUGUGAAAUCCCCGGGCUCAACCUGGGACCUGCAUUUGUGACUGUAUAGCUAGAGUACGGUAGAGGGGGAUGGAAUUCCGCGUGUAGCAGGGAAAUGCGUAGAUAUGCGGAGGAACACCGAUGGCGAAGGCAAUCCCCUGGACCUGUACUGACGCUCAUGCACGAAAGCGUGGGGAGCAAACAGGAUUAGAUACCCCGGUAGUCCCUGUCUCUUAUAC
This 301-nucleotide ribosomal RNA is filed under the name uncultured bacterium. RNAcentral's name for it is "partial 16S ribosomal RNA". It matches the Rfam family "Bacterial small subunit ribosomal RNA", at positions 509 to 807 of the family's 1533-position model. The record is from RNAcentral.